AGGUCCAGCCCCAAACAAAGUGGCAUCAAGGAAGUAGAAGUUGGCCCAGUGAUAUCAGAAGAGGUACAGCCCCUAACAAAGUGGCAUCAAGGAAGUAGAAGUUGCCCCAGUGAUAUCAGAAGAGGAACAGCCCCAAACAAAGUGGCAUCAAGGAAGUAGAAGUUGACCCAGUGGUAUCAGAAGAGGUCCAGCCCCAAACAAAGUGGCAUCAAGGAAGUAGAAGUUGCCCCAGUGGUAUCAGAAGAGGUCCAGCCCCAAACAAAGUGGCAUCAAGGAAGUAGAAGUUGCCCCAGUGAUAUCAGAAGAGGUACAGCCCCUAACAAAGUGGCAUCAAGGAAGUAGAAGUUGCCCCAGUGAUAUCAGAAGAGGUACAUCCCCAAACAAAGUGGCAUCCAGGGAGUAGAAGUUGGCCCAGUGGUAUCAGAAGAGGUCCAGCCCCAAACAAAGUGGCAUCCAGGGAGUAGAAGUUGGCCCAACCCCUGCAGUAGACAAAGUGGAACAACAAGACAUUGAAGAUGAGGAGAAUCUUGCACAGAGUUAAACACUUCAACAGACACCUGAGCAUUGGCAUUCAUAUGAUCUACCUGUGAAGUUCAACCAGGCUUUAUAAAGCAUUACACACAAGGCAGCUAUGAUACACUGUGUUGUAAUUGGCCAAAAAUGCGGAUUGGUAACACCAGUCACCUAAGCCACCAUUGCCCUUGCAGACAAGAGUGUGAAGUAACAGCCCCUACAGUUUACAGCAAAGCCCUCAACUGUAGCCCUACAAACUUCAGAUACUGCCGAUGGCGUAGAUGCAGUGAACUUUGCCAGUUUUUCAGCUAUGUUGAAUUGACAUCUCCAACUGAUUUUAAGAGCCAGGAUUGAUAUCAGACUGCUUGACAGCACGGACCUCUUUCUUGGGUGGAUGGAUUCAGAGAUGACCUACAGAUGCAGCCAUGACUGUGGCACAUGAAUGUUAUAGAUGAUGACUGUAAAGAAAUGAUGAUAGC
Molecule: long non-coding RNA, 992 nt
Organism: Mya arenaria
Lineage: Eukaryota; Metazoa; Mollusca; Bivalvia; Myida; Myidae
Exons: 5
Source: RefSeq, a predicted model, not a curated record